UGGACCACCAGGGAGUUCCCAACCACUCGUUUUUAAAAUAUCCAGUUCUCUUUAACUCUCAUCUGUCUUGGAUGAUGUCAUCAAUGAUAACGUAGGCCAUGUAAUCCAGGCAGAUCUGAGAACGGACACACCUUGGGGUUUUUUCCCAGGACUUUACAACCUGAAAUCAGUGUAAACCCCUAGGGAGCAAUUGGGAGGUGUGAGGGUACCCAGACAGAGCUGGCCUUACCAUUGUGUAUAUUUUUUACAACUUAGAAUAGUAACUGUGAUUGUUUAAAGUGUGGGGCCAAAUGGAAGGUAGCAUCGGGCAGGUAGCCAUGAUAUUCUGUGCAAAAGUCUGCUUCCUUCUUUUGAGUCCUGGGUGUGAGCAGAGAAGGUAUUCCUACACCUCUGUCCUUUUGCAGAUAAAAUAUUUGAUAUAUUUGGAUAUGGAGAACACUCCAGACCUCUCUCUAAGUACCAAUUCAUGAGCUGAGGAUUUGCCAUCAUAAUAUGAUCAGUGUGAUCAAACCAUUUUAUGACAAAGCAGUUUUGCAAAAAACACAUGAUAACUUAAAAUAGUAAGUUGGUCUUUAGCCUCUCUCCCUAACGCACCACAAGGAAACUUGUGUUUGUGCUUCCCAUGAGGGAUUAGAGGCUAUUAUAUUAGAACCUCAGAGGGAAGAUGGUCUGAAAAGUCCUCUCAGAUGGUUCCGAUGGAUCUCAGUCUCAAAUUUCCUCAUUUGAAAAACCACUGUAAUAAAAUAUACACUCAGGACUGUCUGGAACAGUGAAACUGGGACUAG
RNAcentral lists this long non-coding RNA (785 nucleotides) under Bos taurus (domestic cattle). RNAcentral describes it as "long non-coding RNA NONBTAT021525". The record is from RNAcentral. Lineage: Eukaryota; Metazoa; Chordata; Mammalia; Artiodactyla; Bovidae.